GUGAGGAAUUUUCCGCAAUGGGCGAAAGCCUGACGGAGCAAUGCCGCGUGAAGGAUGAAGGCCUAUGGGUUGUAAACUUCUUUUCUCAGAAAAGAAUUAUGACGGUAUCUGAGGAAUAAGCAUCGGCUAACUCUGUGCCAGCAGCCGCGGUAAGACAGAGGAUGCAAGCGUUAUCCGGAAUGAUUGGGCGUAAAGCGUCUGUAGGUUGUUUAAAAAGUAUUCUGUCAAAGAUUAGGGCUUAACCCUAGAUAGGCAGAAUAAACUUUUAAGCUAGAGUUUGGUAGAGGCAGAGGGAAUUCCCGGUGGAGCGGUGAAAUGCGUAGAUAUCGGGAGGAACACCAAAGGCGAAGGCACUCUGCUGGGCCAAUACUAACACUGAGAGACGAAAGCGAGGGGAGCAAAUGGGAUUAGAUACCCUAGUAGUUC
Molecule: ribosomal RNA, 426 nt
Filed under: uncultured bacterium
Lineage: Bacteria
Description: bacterial SSU rRNA
Rfam family: Bacterial small subunit ribosomal RNA
Source: RNAcentral